GACGAACGCUGGCGGCGUGCUUAACACAUGCAAGUCGAACGACGAAGCCGGAGCUUGCUCCGGUGGAUUAGUGGCGAACGGGUGAGUAACACGUGAGCAAUCUGCCCUCGACUCUGGGAUAACUGCGGGAAACUGUAGCUAAUACCGGAUACGACACCUUGGGGCAUCCCAGGGUGUGGAAAGAAUUUCGGUCAAGGAUGAGCUCGCGGCCUAUCAGCUAGUUGGUGAGGUAAUGGCUCACCAAGGCGACGACGGGUAGCCGGCCUGAGAGGGUGACCGGCCACACUGGAACUGAGACACGGUCCAGACUCCUACGGGAGGCAGCAGUGGGGAAUAUUGCACAAUGGGCGAAAGCCUGAUGCAGCAACGCCGCGUGAGGGAUGAAGGCCUUCGGGUUGUAAACCUCUUUUAGCAGGGAAGAAGCGAAAGUGACGGUACCUGCAGAAAAAGCACCGGCUAACUACGUGCCAGCAGCCGCCGUAA
RNAcentral lists this ribosomal RNA (483 nucleotides) under uncultured bacterium. Its description in RNAcentral is "partial 16S ribosomal RNA". It matches the Rfam family "Bacterial small subunit ribosomal RNA", at positions 28 to 523 of the family's 1533-position model. The record is from RNAcentral.